GGGUUGUGAGGUUAAGCGACUAAGCGUACACGGUGGAUGCCCUGGCAGUCAGAGGCGAUGAAGGACGUGCUAAUCUGCGAUAAGCGUCGGUAAGGUGAUAUGAACCGUUAUAACCGGCGAUUUCCGAAUGGGGAAACCCAGUGUGAUUCGUCACACUAUCAUUAACUGAAUCCAUAGGUUAAUGAGGCGAACCGGGGGAACUGAAACAUCUAAGUACCCCGAGGAAAAGAAAUCAACCGAGAUUCCCCCAGUAGCGGCGAGCGAACGGGGAGCAGCCCAGAGCCUGAAUUAGUGUGUGUGUUAGUGGAAGCGUCUGGAAAGGCGCGCGAUACAGGGUGACAGCCCCGUACACAAAAAUGCACAUACUGUGAGCUCGAUGAGUAGGGCGGGACACGUGGUAUCCUGUCUGAAUAUGGGGGGACCAUCCUCCAAGGCUAAAUACUCCUGACUGACCGAUAGUGAACCAGUACCGUGAGGGAAAGGCGAAAAGAACCCCGGCGAGGGGAGUGAAAAAGAACCUGAAACCGUGUACGUACAAGCAGUGGGAGCCUCUUUAUGGGGUGACUGCGUACCUUUUGUAUAAUGGGUCAGCGACUUAUAUUCUGUAGCAAGGUUAACCGAAUAGGGGAGCCGAAGGGAAACCGAGUCUUAACUGGGCGUUAAGUUGCAGGGUAUAGACCCGAAACCCGGUGAUCUAGCCAUGGGCAGGUUGAAGGUUGGGUAACACUAACUGGAGGACCGAACCGACUAAUGUUGAAAAAUUAGCGGAUGACUUGUGGCUGGGGGUGAAAGGCCAAUCAAACCGGGAGAUAGCUGGUUCUCCCCGAAAGCUAUUUAGGUAGCGCCUCGUGAAUUCAUCUCCGGGGGUAGAGCACUGUUUCGGCAAGGGGGUCAUCCCGACUUACCAACCCGAUGCAAACUGCGAAUACCGGAGAAUGUUAUCACGGGAGACACACGGCGGGUGCUAACGUCCGUCGUGAAGAGGGAAACAACCCAGACCGCCAGCUAAGGUCCCAAAGUCAUGGUUAAGUGGGAAACGAUGUGGGAAGGCCCAGACAGCCAGGAUGUUGGCUUAGAAGCAGCCAUCAUUUAAAGAAAGCGUAAUAGCUCACUGGUCGAGUCGGCCUGCGCGGAAGAUGUAACGGGGCUAAACCAUGCACCGAAGCUGCGGCAGCGACACUGUGUGUUGUUGGGUAGGGGAGCGUUCUGUAAGCCUGUGAAGGUGUGCUGUGAGGCAUGCUGGAGGUAUCAGAAGUGCGAAUGCUGACAUAAGUAACGAUAAAGCGGGUGAAAAGCCCGCUCGCCGGAAGACCAAGGGUUCCUGUCCAACGUUAAUCGGGGCAGGGUGAGUCGACCCCUAAGGCGAGGCCGAAAGGCGUAGUCGAUGGGAAACAGGUUAAUAUUCCUGUACUUGGUGUUACUGCGAAGGGGGGACGGAGAAGGCUAUGUUGGCCGGGCGACGGUUGUCCCGGUUUAAGCGUGUAGGCUGGUUUUCCAGGCAAAUCCGGAAAAUCAAGGCUGAGGCGUGAUGACGAGGCACUACGGUGCUGAAGCAACAAAUGCCCUGCUUCCAGGAAAAGCCUCUAAGCAUCAGGUAACAUUAAAUCGUACCCCAAACCGACACAGGUGGUCAGGUAGAGAAUACCAAGGCGCUUGAGAGAACUCGGGUGAAGGAACUAGGCAAAAUGGUGCCGUAACUUCGGGAGAAGGCACGCUGAUAUGUAGGUGAAGCGACUUGCUCGUGGAGCUGAAAUCAGUCGAAGAUACCAGCUGGCUGCAACUGUUUAUUAAAAACACAGCACUGUGCAAACACGAAAGUGGACGUAUACGGUGUGACGCCUGCCCGGUGCCGGAAGGUUAAUUGAUGGGGUUAGCGGUAACGCGAAGCUCUUGAUCGAAGCCCCGGUAAACGGCGGCCGUAACUAUAACGGUCCUAAGGUAGCGAAAUUCCUUGUCGGGUAAGUUCCGACCUGCACGAAUGGCGUAAUGAUGGCCAGGCUGUCUCCACCCGAGACUCAGUGAAAUUGAACUCGCUGUGAAGAUGCAGUGUACCCGCGGCAAGACGGAAAGACCCCGUGAACCUUUACUAUAGCUUGACACUGAACAUUGAGCCUUGAUGUGUAGGAUAGGUGGGAGGCUUUGAAGUGUGGACGCCAGUCUGCAUGGAGCCGGCCUUGAAAUACCACCCUUUAAUGUUUGAUGUUCUAACGUUGGCCCCUGACCGGGGUUGCGGACAGUGUCUGGUGGGUAGUUUGACUGGGGCGGUCUCCUCCUAAAGAGUAACGGAGGAGCACGAAGGUUGGCUAAUCCUGGUCGGACAUCAGGAGGUUAGUGCAAUGGCAUAAGCCAGCUUGACUGCGAGCGUGACGGCGCGAGCAGGUGCGAAAGCAGGUCAUAGUGAUCCGGUGGUUCUGAAUGGAAGGGCCAUCGCUCAACGGAUAAAAGGUACUCCGGGGAUAACAGGCUGAUACCGCCCAAGAGUUCAUAUCGACGGCGGUGUUUGGCACCUCGAUGUCGGCUCAUCACAUCCUGGGGCUGAAGUAGGUCCCAAGGGUAUGGCUGUUCGCCAUUUAAAGUGGUACGCGAGCUGGGUUUAGAACGUCGUGAGACAGUUCGGUCCCUAUCUGCCGUGGGCGCUGGAGAACUGAGGGGGGCUGCUCCUAGUACGAGAGGACCGGAGUGGACGCAUCACUGGUGUUCGGGUUGUCAUGCCAAUGGCACUGCCCGGUAGCUAAAUGCGGAAGAGAUAAGUGCUGAAAGCAUCUAAGCACGAAACUUGCCCCGAGAUGAGUUCUCCCUGACUCCUUGAGAGUCCUGAAGGAACGUUGAAGACGACGACGUUGAUAGGCCGGGUGUGUAAGCGCAGCGAUGCGUUGAGCUAACCGGUACUAAUGAACCGUGAGGCUUAACCUUACAACGCCGAAG
Molecule: ribosomal RNA, 2925 nt
Filed under: Escherichia coli
Lineage: Bacteria; Pseudomonadati; Pseudomonadota; Gammaproteobacteria; Enterobacterales; Enterobacteriaceae
Description: 23S ribosomal RNA
Rfam family: Bacterial large subunit ribosomal RNA
Source: RNAcentral